This 414-nucleotide long non-coding RNA is filed under the name Danio rerio (zebrafish). RNAcentral's name for it is "lncRNA si:ch211-139k8.2 (ENSDARG00000091946.3)". Lineage: Eukaryota; Metazoa; Chordata; Actinopteri; Cypriniformes; Danionidae. The record is from RNAcentral.
UGUUUUUUCCUUAACAUUUGUUCUAAUCUUUUUGAUUAGUUCAUUUUUCUUGCUUUAUUUUUGUAGGCCACGUGGCAACAUGUUUUAGAGGCAGUCUGUGAUGUAACAGCACUGCUGUCACCUGCAUGUCCAGCUGUGCUGGUGGCUCAGAGAAGUGGACUAAUGAGGGUCCUAAGCAGUGAAUGGACUCGCCACGCUCCACUGCCGGCAUUUACACAUCUCUCACCAUGCGCCUUCCCGUGGAGAUUGGCUCACUUCGUUUUCUUCAUGAUGAAUGUCUCUCUGAACCUCUUGUGGCAUUUGAGUGAACUGCCGCUAUUUUACAGAUUCCAGCCCAGACAUGAUUCAUCCAAUAGAAACUGCAGAGGAAUUUGCUGCAUCACAAAACACAUACCCUGUUGAGGCUUUCAUAUG